AUUGAACGCUGGCGGAAUGCUUUACACAUGCAAAUCGAACGGCAGCACGGACUUCGGUCUCGUGGCGAGUGGCGAACGGGUGAGUAAUGUAUCGGAACGUGCCCAGUCGUGGGGGAUAACGUAGUGAAAAUUACGCUAAUACCGCAUACGAUCUAUGGAUGAAAGCGGGGGAUCGCAAGACCUCGCGCGAUUGGAGCGGCCGAUAUCAGAUUAGGUAGUUGGUGGGGUAAAGGCCCACCAAGCCAACGAUCUGUAGCUGGUCUGAGAGGACGACCAGCCACACUGGAACUGAGACACGGUCCAGACUCCUACGGGAGGCAGCAGUGGGGAAUUUUGGACAAUGGGCGAAAGCCUGAUCCAGCCAUUCCGCGUGCAGGAUGAAGGCCCUCGGGUUGUAAACUGCUUUUGUACAGAACGAAAAGGUUUCUACUAAUACUAGGAGCUCAUGACGGUACUGUAAGAAUAAGCACCGGCUAACUACGUGCCAGCCGCCGCAGUAA
This 500-nucleotide ribosomal RNA is filed under the name uncultured bacterium. Its description in RNAcentral is "partial 16S ribosomal RNA". It matches the Rfam family "Bacterial small subunit ribosomal RNA", at positions 30 to 523 of the family's 1533-position model. The record is from RNAcentral.